CUCUCCUGCUUUCUGUCUAUUUGUCCCACCUCAGUUUUCCCACAGUUCAGGUUCCAAAAACCUUGUUUCCAGGCCCAAAUUCCAGGCCCAGCCUCACCCAUUCCGGCUUCAAACUGAGAUAAACUAGGACAAAGUGAGAGGGGUAGCUCCUGGAUUUUUUGAAUUUAAAAAUCAUUAGUUAGAGUUUGAGCGUGAGAUAUCCUCCCCGGCUCUUGUGCUUGAUCCCAAACUCUGGCACUGUUUGAGAGGAUCGUUGGGAAUGUGAGGCCUGGCUAUCAGACGUAGGGGGUGAGGCUUGAGAGCCUGGCCUAGCUCUCUCUCUGAUGGAGCCCUGGUGGCCAUGCUUUCUCCACCACGAAAGACUAUUCCCCGUAAACCAUGUGAGAUAGAGACACUGGCCUGAAAUAUAUGCUUGAGGUCUACACUUACUUCCAUAGCAUCCCUGCACCAGGCACCUGACAUGCAGCCUGCUGUAAGAUGGCAAAGGGUAGUGAUGACAACAUCGGAAAUUAUGACGGUAUGUUUCUAAGCCAAAGGAGGAGGAGACCCCGUGAUUAAACACAGGAGGGUAUUUUGUAAUGGUUCUGGAGAGACUGAAUUUGAAUUAAAAAAAAAAAAAAAAGUCACAAAUGAGAAGAAAAGAUGCUGUGGC
Long non-coding RNA from Peromyscus maniculatus bairdii (prairie deer mouse), 652 nucleotides. RefSeq lists it as uncharacterized. Lineage: Eukaryota; Metazoa; Chordata; Mammalia; Rodentia; Cricetidae. The record is from RefSeq and is a predicted model, not a curated record.